This 498-nucleotide long non-coding RNA is filed under the name Marmota monax (woodchuck). Lineage: Eukaryota; Metazoa; Chordata; Mammalia; Rodentia; Sciuridae. The record is from RNAcentral.
CAUUAACCCCAUGCAUAAGGGCUCCACCUUCAUUACUUAAUCACCUCCUAUAGGCCCCGCCCCUUAGUGCUAUUAUACUGGGGAUUAAAUUUCAACAUAUGCAUUUUGGGAGUCUGUGAACAUUCAGACUAGAGCACUAUUUUAUUUAACAUUUGGACAGGUCUCUUUAAGAGGAAACUGUGGUUCCUCAUGCUUAUGGGGUCAGAAUCCACUUGCAGAGGGCAUGGAAAUGCGAUCACCAGAAUCCAGCUCAAAUCUAAUGAAUCAGCCUUUCAGACUGGGCCCCAGGAUUCUGUAUUUUAACAAGCCUCACGGGGGAUUCUGAUGCAAGCUGAAGUUUGGCUGGCCGCUGGCUUGUAUGUUGUGUACGGGUAUUGCAUUUUCUUAAUGAGAUUACUAACAGGAAGGAGGCUUGAUUUCCUUUGUUAAAAUCAAAAUUGGAGUAAAAGGUUAUGGGACACAAUCAUCUGCUAAAUCAAUGUUUGAUGUUAAAAAAAA